RNAcentral lists this ribosomal RNA (468 nucleotides) under uncultured bacterium. RNAcentral describes it as "partial 16S ribosomal RNA". It matches the Rfam family "Bacterial small subunit ribosomal RNA", at positions 28 to 507 of the family's 1533-position model. The record is from RNAcentral.
GACGAACGCUGGCGGCGUGCUUAACACAUGCAAGUCGAACGGAAAGGCCCUGCUUUUGUGGGGUGCUCGAGUGGCGAACGGGUGAGUAACACGUGAGUAACCUGCCCUUGACUUUGGGAUAACUUCAGGAAACUGGGGCUCAUACCGGAUAGGAGCUCCUGCUGCAUGGUGGGGGUUGGAAAGUUUCGGCGGUUGGGGAUGGACUCGCGGCUUAUCAGCUUCUUUGGGGGGUAGUUGCUUACCAAGGCUUUGACGGGUAGCCGGCCUGGGAGGGGUGCCGGCCACCUUGGGACUGCGGUACGGCCCAGAAGCCUACGGGAGGCAGCAGUGGGGAAUAUUGCACAAUGGGCGGAAGCCUGAUGCAGCAGCGCCGCGUGCGGGAUGACGGCCUUCGGGUUGUAAACCGCUUUCGCCUGUGACGAAGCGGGAGUGACGGUAAUGGGUCAAGAAGCACCGGCUAACUACGUG